This is a non-coding RNA of Nicotiana tabacum (common tobacco), 591 nucleotides long. Lineage: Eukaryota; Viridiplantae; Streptophyta; Magnoliopsida; Solanales; Solanaceae. The record is from RefSeq and is a predicted model, not a curated record.
UUCUCUUUUCCAUUGCAUGACUUAUUGGGCCUGCCGUUUUCAUUGAGAACUUUGGUCCAAGUUUAGAGCCUAGCUGGGCCUGACUAAUUUGUCAGCCCAAUAUAUUCGGCUCUUUCGGAGGUUGAUUUGAGAGAAAAGGCUAUUUUCGUAGAUUAGAGGUUACUGGUGGAGGUAAGCGUGCGGGCGAGGUAUAAUUAUGGCACAUUGGAUAUGAUGAUCGGAUAUUGAUUUAUGAGGAAUGCUAUUAUAUCCUUCUUCCGCUUGGAUUUGGAUCCAUCCCUCCGAAAUCAGAUCCUCAAGUGGGUCCUACCAGAGCUUCUUGGGCUAAGAGUUAUCACGGAGACUUGGGGUGAGCUGCACUUUAUAAAUCUACUUUGUAGUUCCCGAGUCCAUGUUCCUUUUAUAUAUUUAUGUCUAUUUGUAUUUUAGACAGCUUGACAUGUAUAAAUACUUGAUCUCAUUUUCAUAGUUUGCUCGUGUACUUGUACCAUCUAGUCUUGGGGAUAUGUUGUAUUGAUCAUGUUUAGGCCCUGCUUGUGGCUUUAUCAGAUAUUAUCAUUAUUUUGAGACUAUUUCUAUCUUUUAUUGUUA